Capra hircus (goat) is the source of this 1946-nucleotide long non-coding RNA. The record is from Ensembl. Lineage: Eukaryota; Metazoa; Chordata; Mammalia; Artiodactyla; Bovidae.
GAGAGAGUUUAGAACUGAGGUCUGCUGCUGCUGCUAAGUUGCUUAAGUCAUGUCCAACUCUCUGUGACCCUAUAGAUGGCAGCCCACCAGGCUCCCCUGUUGCCGGGAUUCUUCAGGCAAGAACACUGGAGUAGGCUGCCAUUUCCUUCUCCAAUGCAUGAAAGUGAAAAGUGAGAGUGAAGUUGCUCAGUCAUUUCCGACUCUUAGCGACCCCAUGGACUGCAGCUCACCAGGCUUCUUCGCCCAUGUGAUUUUCCAGGCAAGAGUACUGGACUGGGAUGCCAUUGCCUUCUGCGACAGGUGAGGUCUGGUGGUCUCUAAAUCUGUCUCCAAAAGACAGACCAUCCAAGGAGAGACCUUGAAUUACAGCUGUAAUCAGCUAAUUAUAAUGAGGUAUGUUGGUUAAGUCCAAAGAGGGAGCAAGUGUGUCCCGGUGGCAGAGGGUGAAGACUGCCCCCAUCUGUUUCCCCACUUCCUGCUGCCCAGGGGCCCAGACAACUUAUGUUCCGAGAAUGUCUUCUUUUGGCUCGGGUAUCUGGAAGGAGGCCUGCCAUUUGUUUCUCAAGGAGGGUGCAGUCAUGAAGUCUCUUUAGUCAAUUGAAAAUGAAAAUCCUGCUACCUACUGAAGUGGCAGAUGGGGUGAGGGUGAGACAGGGCCCCUCAGCUCCUGGUCCCAGAAAGAGGGCAGAGGGGAAGACAGAGACCUGUGAUGAGCCCGCGCGCACGGUGUUCCUUUCACUGCUCACUGAGGCGGCAUCACAGUUUGAGUUCCUUCCUCAGCCUGGUCCAGUGUCCUCACAGAUCUCACAGGCUGGAGCGGUAAUCAAGCACGGUCAGAGCCCUGGGGAGUUUCAGAUGAGCCCAGAUGCACCACGAAGCAGCGGUGGCCAUCAGCAGGUCUUCAUGGAGUGGGCAACUUCUGAACUGGGUCUAAGGGAUGGAACAUCAGGACCACAGAAGGCGGCUGCUCUGAGCUGGGGACAGCUGUACACACAGUUACCCGCAGCUCCUGUGCUGAGAUCAAGAAGGAUGGAUGUCAGGUCCAGGCUCUCACCAGGAGCACUCCUCCUCCACCAUCUCCUAUGGGGCAGGUUCUGAGCAGUCCAUAUUUCCAGCUCAGAAAAGACUUGGCCUGUGCUUUGCAACUUAGAAACCCCUGUCCGCCACACUGGACUCACUUGCGUCUCACCUGCCCUGCAGUCACCCCACUUCCAGAGGUAUUUGCAGUCUUUGUUCAGUGGGUGAGAACCCAGAGGGCAGGCGCUGAGGCUCCUCCAGCCGCCAUGAUCCACCUACCCCUCUGUGAGGAGUCCUGAGCCUCUGAGGGGAUGGGGCCCCUUCCGUGGGUCUCCCUGGGGCUGUGAUGGAACCUCCUUCCUCCUGGACCAGCACAAGGAUGACUUGUCCAUACCCGUGAGGGGGCGGGUAGGAGCACACAGCGGCCUCGAGGGCCCUGCGCCCUGGGAUCCUGGGGGUGGAAGUGGUGAGGGAAGGGGCCCGCAGGGUGGCUCACGCGCGUGGGGGCCAGGACACCAGGCUGCUUCCAAGUGGCCAUACCAGCCACAGACGCUGAUGGGGACAAAGUGCUCCAGGUCUAUGCAAGCCAGUCACGCAGCGAGUGCUCUCAGAACCAGUGUUUAUGGUAAAACACCUGUGCUGAUUGGCAACAGGGGAAGGGAUGCCUGUGACCCAGGAAACUCUCCCCUGACCUUCAGGAAACACUCUGACAGGGUCUCUGAAGAUUCAAAAAAAAAAAAAUCUGCUUUGGUUAAGAAGACAGGGGAGGAAUUGAACACUGGCUGCAAAGGUACAUUUUUGAAGAAGUAGAAAACAGCACUAUUUCUAAGUUAAAAGCCUGUGUUUAGAACAAGCUUACUUAAUGACUAACUGUAUAAUGCAGGCAUUGGUGGAAGUAAAAGCUGUGUUGUAGGCUGUGGUAACUCCCA